CUCUUUAUAUUUCACUGAUGCAAGUGCAAUUUUAUUGGACUUCUCUUUCAGUCUAUGAAAGGAACUCUCUCAACCAACAUAGAUAAAAAGACAGAAUUAUAUGUAUAUAUAUAUAUAUAUAUAUAUAUAUCUUUUUGUACAAGCACAAAUCAGCAAUGUAUGAACUAAGGGAAAGCAAGAUCCAUGACAAUGAAUAUGUGUGUGUGUGUUUACACACAUCAAUGUUUUAGGUCAAGAAAAGAGCCCAAAAUUCUAAGACUAUUAAAGGAGGAGAAAGGAAAAAUAACUUUUGAAUGAGAGAAAAUCCUUUUGAAAAACUCACCCUAGAAAGAUUGCGAGAGGCUUUAGCAUAAAAUAACACAUGUAUGCUUAUUUACGUGUCAAGUUGAAUAGGUUUUCGCAAAUUGACAUAUACGUGAGAGAUAAUAAAAGUAUUCAUAGUGCUGUGGUUUCUGUUGAUGAAAAUAAACAAUGGAGUGAGUGAUUUUACUUGCUCAAAUCAAAAUCAAGCAAAAGAUAGACAAACGCAUGAAUUGAUUUUGUACCCACCAGAAAUAGUAGUAGGUCACAGGUUUUGUUUAUUCUUAAAAAACAAUGUAUAUAUAUAUAUAUAUAUAUAUAUAAUAAAAGGAUAGAUACGUGCGUGCAUGGAAUAGGUAAAGUUCAGAUACAUUGCACAUGAUUAUAUUUAUUAAUAGCAUAGCUUAUGUAUACUGGAACGAUUUCAAUUUGUUAAAGAUGAAAUUGGUCAGUGCAAGUGUACCAACUUGGAUAAUAUUCCUUUCCUUCCAGCUUUCAAUUCAGAAGCUAAGAGGAAUGAAACAAGAGCUGCAUAUAUAUCUUCCAUGUGAAUCAUAUCUUAACCCAUCAAUUCUAUUUUUCUUUUUCAAGUAUGCAUGUUGUCUGUCAGACGAGGCAGCUUUCAAAGGCUCAACUUGAAAACCUAAAUGCAUACAAUGAACUCAGACAGCUAUGGGGUUGAUGUUGGAUAAAAGAAGAUUGAUAGAUAGAAUUGAGGUUGAUGUAAUGAUAUGGGUUUUUUGAUACAAAUAAUCACUUAAAAUGAGGGCCAUCCUUCCAUGAUUUGGGGUUCCCAGCAUUCUUGGAAUUUGGGGAGCAUCUCUGGG
Molecule: long non-coding RNA, 1127 nt
Filed under: Ricinus communis (castor bean)
Lineage: Eukaryota; Viridiplantae; Streptophyta; Magnoliopsida; Malpighiales; Euphorbiaceae
Description: long non-coding RNA (RCOM_LNC000278)
Source: RNAcentral